Molecule: ribosomal RNA, 836 nt
Filed under: uncultured Streptococcus sp.
Lineage: Bacteria; Bacillati; Bacillota; Bacilli; Lactobacillales; Streptococcaceae
Description: bacterial SSU rRNA
Rfam family: Bacterial small subunit ribosomal RNA
Source: RNAcentral
GAGGAGCUUGCUCUUCUUGGAUGAGUUGCGAACGGGUGAGUAACGCGUAGGUAACCUGCCUUGUAGCGGGGGAUAACUAUUGGAAACGAUAGCUAAUACCGCAUAACAAUGGAUGACACAUGUCAUUUAUUUGAAAGGGGCAAUUGCUCCACUACAAGAUGGACCUGCGUUGUAUUAGCUAGUAGGUGAGGUAAUGGCUCACCUAGGCGACGAUACAUAGCCGACCUGAGAGGGUGAUCGGCCACACUGGGACUGAGACACGGCCCAGACUCCUACGGGAGGCAGCAGUAGGGAAUCUUCGGCAAUGGGGGCAACCCUGACCGAGCAACGCCGCGUGAGUGAAGAAGGUCUUCGGAUCGUAAAGCUCUGUUGUAAGUCAAGAACGGGUGUGAGAGUGGAAAGUUCACACUGUGACGGUAGCUUACCAGAAAGGGACGGCUAACUACGUGCCAGCAGCCGCGGUAAUACGUAGGUCCCGAGCGUUGUCCGGAUUUAUUGGGCGUAAAGCGAGCGCAGGCGGUUUGAUAAGUCUGAAGUUAAAGGCUGUGGCUCAACCAUAGUUCGCUUUGGAAACUGUCAAACUUGAGUGCAGAAGGGGAGAGUGGAAUUCCAUGUGUAGCGGUGAAAUGCGUAGAUAUAUGGAGGAACACCGGUGGCGAAAGCGGCUCUCUGGUCUGUAACUGACGCUGAGGCUCGAAAGCGUGGGGAGCGAACAGGAUUAGAUACCCUGGUAGUCCACGCCGUAAACGAUGAGUGCUAGGUGUUGGAUCCUUUCCGGGAUUCAGUGCCGCAGCUAACGCAUUAAGCACUCCGCCUGGGAGUACGACCGCAAGGUU